CAUCCAGCCUCUGCCAGCUCUCCCUUGAUCGGCAGAGCUGAGCCCAGCUUUGCUUGGCCUGGAGGGAGAUGGCCUUUAUUGCAGCACGAACCAAGUGAGGAGGACUGCAUGUCAACAGCUCUCCAGGAGCCACCAAAGGUUAUGAUGAAUUAGAACCCUGAGUCCACAAACAGAUAUUUCCACAUCAAUGUUCACAGCAGCAUUAUUCCCAGUCACCAAGAGGUGGAAACAACCUCCGUUCAUCAGUCGGAGGCCCCUGCAGGAGCCCCUGUGAUAGCCGGUGCUGAUGCAUCCAGACCCCACCCUCUCUCCUGGACCAUUGCAUGGGUGCCUGCCGGUCUCACCAUCUGCCCUCCCUGUGCCCCCCACAGCCUCCUGCGAUGAUUUUUUAAAUGACAAGUUGGCUGUCUGACUGCCUGGGAAGCACUUCAGGGGGUGGGAGCUGGAUCAGGGCCCCCGCAUUCGCUGUGCUUCCCCCAUGACAGCGUGUGUCACAC
Long non-coding RNA from Gorilla gorilla gorilla (western lowland gorilla), 497 nucleotides. RefSeq lists it as uncharacterized. The transcript has 4 exons. The record is from RefSeq and is a predicted model, not a curated record. Lineage: Eukaryota; Metazoa; Chordata; Mammalia; Primates; Hominidae.